GAUGAACGCUGGCGGCGUGCCUAAUACAUGCAAGUCGAGCGAACAGACGAGGAGCUUGCUCCUCUGACGUUAGCGGCGGACGGGUGAGUAACACGUGGAUAACCUCCCUAUAAGACUGGGAUAACUUCGGGAAACCGGAGCUAAUACCGGAUAAUAUAUUGAACCGCAUGGUUCAAUAGUGAAAGACGGUUUUGCUGUCACUUAUAGAUGGAUCCGCGCCGCAUUAGCUAGUUGGUAAGGUAACGGCUUACCAAGGCAACGAUGCGUAGCCGACCGGAGAGGGUGAUCGGCCACACUGGAACUGGGACGCGGUCCAGACUCCUACGGGAGGCAGCAGUAGGGAAUCUGCCGCAAUGGGCGAAAGCCUGACGGAGCAACGCCGCGUGAGUGAUGAAGGUCUUCGGAGCGUAAAACUCUGUUAUUAGGGAAGAACAAAUGUGUAAGUAACUAUGCCCGUAUUGACGGUACCUAAUAAGAAAGCCCCGGCUAACUACGUG
RNAcentral lists this ribosomal RNA (497 nucleotides) under uncultured bacterium. RNAcentral describes it as "partial 16S ribosomal RNA". It matches the Rfam family "Bacterial small subunit ribosomal RNA", at positions 28 to 507 of the family's 1533-position model. The record is from RNAcentral.